CACAAGCGGCGGAGCAUGUGGAUUAAUUCGAUGCAACGCGAAGAACCUUACCUGGGCUUGACAUACACCAGAUCGGCGCAGAGAUGCGUUUUCCCUUGUGGUUGGUGUACAGGUGGUGCAUGGUUGUCGUCAGCUCGUGUCGUGAGAUGUUGGGUUAAGUCCCGCAACGAGCGCAACCCUUGUCUUAUGUUGCCAGCACGUGAUGGUGGGGACUCAUGAGAGACUGCCGGGGUUAACUCGGAGGAAGGUGGGGAUGACGUCAAAUCAUCAUGCCCCUUAUGUCCAGGGCUUCACACAUGCUACAAUGGUCGGUACAACGCGUGUGCGACACUGUGAGGUGAAGCUAAUCGCUCUAAAGCCGGUCGUAGUUCGGAUUGGGGUCUGCAACUCGACCCCAUGAAGUCGGAGUCGCUAGUAAUCGCAGAUCAGCAACGCUGCGGUGAAUACGUUCCCGGGCCUU
This 460-nucleotide ribosomal RNA is filed under the name uncultured Corynebacterium sp. RNAcentral's name for it is "bacterial SSU rRNA". It matches the Rfam family "Bacterial small subunit ribosomal RNA", at positions 924 to 1382 of the family's 1533-position model. The record is from RNAcentral. Lineage: Bacteria; Bacillati; Actinomycetota; Actinomycetes; Mycobacteriales; Corynebacteriaceae.